This is a long non-coding RNA of Equus caballus (horse), 14018 nucleotides long. The record is from Ensembl. NCBI's taxonomy places the organism in Eukaryota, Metazoa, Chordata, Mammalia, Perissodactyla, Equidae.
CUACAGUACACUCUGAAUAUGUCUCUUGAUCACUUCUAGACCCCAGCUAAGAUUCUCUCUCUGUCAUCAUGACCCUGCAUUUCUCUGCCUCACUCAAUUAUUCCAAGAGCCCACAGCUGGCCUUGAGCUUUGUGCUGACGUUGUGGCUGGGCUGAAGUAUACGCUUUGUCCUCCUCCUCUUCAUGAAAAGAGUAACCUGCUGCUGGAGGCAGAGCUGAACAUAGAUCCUGAAUGUAGGCAUGACGUGGGAGCCUCGAUGCUUCCUUCCACUACCAAGCCCGAAACAGGCUGCUCUACAGGGCACUGGAUACACUGGCCCAUCCCAGGAAAUCUACAGCACAAAUGAAGAGAUGAGGCAGGUAAAUAUAAAAAGACAAUUAACAACACAAUGGAAAAUGUGAACUCCGUGAGAUGAUAAGUGGGUUACCCAAAGAGUGUAAUAGGAAAUCAAGAGAGACAGGGGCCAUCACAAUCAGGAAAGGCAUCGCUGAGCAAUAACAAUUUGAAAUGGAUCGUGAAGGAGUAGGAUUCUGGUAGAUGAUAACAGCUGGAUAGUCCAACACAGAGGGAGGCAGGGUCGGGUAGGGGACAGAGAGGCAGUGGAGAGAGAAUAAGUAAGGAAAGAUUUUAGAAACUGCUGUUACUGUUCUGGGGCUCAGAAGAGACUCUCUUGAACCCAGCAAUCUCUCUGUUUGCAAACUUACACUCAUUCAUUCACUCAAAUGGGCAUGCAGUUAUUAUACACCUAGGAUUCUGCAAGCUUAUAGGAUAAGAUUUUAAAUCAAACCAAGGAAAUAAAAAACAUUUAAAGAGUAAAGGCAUGAUUCAUAAUAGUCAGCUCUUUUACAGUUUGAGCUAUUUAAGUUUGAAACUCAAGAAAUUACAUGUUUAAGUGCCUAAGCAGUCUUGAGUUGACUUUUAAUUAACCUCUUUUGCCUUUUCUCAUCUAGGAAAAUUGAAAAAUAUUUUUAUAGUCCAACAGAAACUUACCUUAUAAAAGAAUUACGCAAAUUUGAAAGUCACUUAUAAUAAUCUUUCAAAACAUGAUGUUUGCAGCUAAAUGAAGCCAAAUUGUAUUUAUUCCUUAUCAGUCUUAGUUAUCUUGGUAUCUCUCUCUUAUUAAUAAGAUUCAGACAAAGCCUAGCCUCCCAGUGCAAAGAAAAAGUGAAAACCACAGUGAUUUAAAAAUGAUUUUCUCUAAUCAAGCCACAUCUCAUUAUUCAUGAUUCCUUUUUUUAGAUUUUAAUGUUUGCAGAUGCUUUUUGUGGGAAAGAUAUUUAAAACAUGUCCUCCCAAGUGUGCACCCACCUCUUCAUGCAGAUUAUUCUUCCUCUGUCCUUCUGGGUUGGAGGGGAGGAUUUAUUUAUUCAGCUUAACCUGAAUCUUAGCAAAGAAAAAGAGGGCAUUCCCUUUUCUUUAUACCACCCCCUUUUCAAAAGAACAAUAAUAGGUUUGCCUAAAAACAGAUACAGAGGCUGUGCUAUUCAAUUUUCAUUUUUAUGAUGGUAAGUGGAGUCACCUAGCCUUCUUGGCACCCUAAAUAAUGAGGUUCUUACACCUCCCAUGAUGACUGGUCACCAAAAAGGAUUCCCUAUUGUUUCAGUCUGGGUAGGCUAGGCCGUGCUGCAGUAACAAAUAAACUUUAUGAUCAUGGCGGCUUAGCACAGCAGAAGUUGAUUUCUUCCACACACUGAGUCUAACGCGGUUUGCCUGGGAUGCUCCUCCAUCCAGUGACUCAGGGAUCCAAGCUCUCUUCAUCUUAUAAUAUAGCCUCCUUAACAUGUCACUUCUAAGGUCACUUGAGCCUGGCGAGAGAGAGGAAAGAAGCACACCAGCUUGUAACUGCCUCAGCCUGGAAGUAACAUGUGUUAUUCUGUUUCAGAUUCAUUGUCCAGAAGGAGUCACUUGGCCUCAACCUAAUAGCAAGGCAGAGUGGAAAUGAGGGAGAAUGCAUGGAAUAUUUGGUGAGAAUUAACCAUCUCUGCCUCAGUUACAUGAUUAGCUACAUUUUGUUCUAUGCUAAGCCAAGUCCAGAAGAAGCACUAGGAGAAUGGAGAAUUUCAGCAUAUUAAAAUCAUUGUCCAGAAGUAACCAGGCAUACAAAGUAUACACGUUCUGGAGACAGAGCACACUUAUUGCCUGGCUUGCCACCUUCCAGCAAUAAGAACUUCGGCAAAUCCCACCCUCUGAGCCUCAAUGUCUUCAUCUGUAAAAUGGAAAGAAUACAAACAUAGCAAGGCAGUUGGGAGGAUUAGAAGAAAUGACUGGGAAAGAUCUGGAAAAGUGACUAGCAAAGACUAUGUUUUAAAAGUAGCAAUUAUUAUUAUUGUGUUUUAGUGAUAAUAAUAAAAUGAUGAUAUCAUUAUCAUUAUGCAAAAUAAUUAGUUUGUUAUAUUCAAUUUACCAAAAAUAAUGAGAACAAUUUUGAAAUGCAAGCAUCUCUGAGACUUCCUAGGGGAGUUCCAAAUCAGCUUUGACCCUGCAUUUAAUUUACUUUUAGCAUAGAAUGUAGCAUAUUAUUACCUUUAGAAUUUCUCAUUUCAGAUGAAAAAAAAGUCAAGCUUUUAGAGUAAUUGCAAAUUUUUUAAAGAGACCUCAGUGAAAGCAGAGAGGUGAGUUUCCAUGGCAAUCUCUGAACAACGCAAAGGGAAGGGAAGAAGAGGGGAGCAUUUAAUGAGCACUUACAUGAUGUUAAGCAGUGUGCUUGGCACUUUACGGAAAAUAUCUGUCUAAAACACGGGAAAAUGCUGUGAGGUCAUGGUUUUAGGGAAGAACAAGCGGACUCCAAGGUAGAGAGACUUACCUCAGUUAACCGUUUAGAAUGUGGCCCAAAUGGGGUCUGGCCCUCCUUUGCUGCACCGUUGAGUUUCCUGCGAUUGCACCUUCUUUCUGCUGCUCACGCUCUAUGCCCCAUGUUUCCCAGGCUUAUUCCUCUUUGUUCCCAGACUUCCUCAAGGCUUCCCCAGGGUUAAUAUACAAACCUCCCUCUCCAGCCCGAUCUCUCACCAGCACCUCAGGCCCCUAUUUCCUUCUGACAAUGAGAUAAAUAUCCUUAGAUAGAUUAUCUUUCCUACUCAGAGAGAGUCUUCCUUGUGGCAGAAAGCCUAUGAGAAAAGUUGAAAGAGUGAUGGCAGGGUGAAACCACCAUGCUACAACCAGCCUACUACGGACCAGCUGUGCAAGAAUCAUCAACGGAAGCCAAAUCUGGGGGGAAGUUUGACGAGGGGCAGAAUAUCUGCGUGGUCUCAAAGGCUCUCUGCACAGAUUGCUUGUUAGCUGAAAGGCGAAAAACAGUAACUGCACAAUGGAGAAAUGGGAUGAGACUUGGUGUGAUCAAAAUUGACCUUAGCAGAGAGGAGCGGAUGGACAUCACAUGCCCCUGGACGUGAUGCAUUGAGAAGGAAACCCCAUCACCUAUGAGUAACUUGAAUCUAAUCACAAGGAAACAUCAGACAAACCCACACUGAAGAACAGUCUACAGCCGGCCUCGAUUCUUUAAAAACGUCUGGGUAUGAAAGUGAGAAGGACUGAGGAACCUUCUAGAUUAAAGGAGAGUAAACAGACAUGGCCACUAAAUGGAGCAGAUCCUGUACUGGACAUGUAAGUGCUUAAAGGACACUAUUGGGACAAUUGACAAACAUGGGAUAUUGGAAGGUAAAUUAGAUGUAAGUAUUGGAACAAUGUUAAGUUUCCUAAAUGUAACAAGAUUGUGGUUAUUUAAGAGAAUAUUCUUAUUGUUAGGAGUUACACACUGAAAUAUUAAGAAGUAAAAGGGCAGACUGUAUGUAACUUUCAAAUGAUUCAGAAAAACAAAUAAUCAUUUUAGAAUUUAUAAUUUACACACAGGUAAGUAUGUAUAUGCAGAUCUAUGUGUCUCUAUAAAUGUUUGUUUAUACAUAUAUAGAGAGAGAGAGAUGAUAAAACAAAUGUGGCAAAAUGGUAAAAAUUGGUGAAUCUGGUAAAAGUACAUCCAGAAGUUUUCCAGAGAAAGAGACUAUAUUUCCAGCAAUUAAAUGAGCUUUAGAAGUUUAAACAAAUUGAAGUUUCUAUUAAUAGCUAGCAAUUACUGUUUGCCCCUUGUUUGCUAUGGGUUCUCCUAGGCAGGUUAUCGGUAUUCUUUCUAAACUUUCUUAAGAGCUCUGGAUCUGGAAAUUAUGUCUUCAUUUUCAUGUUUAGAUAUGAGGAAAGUGAAACAGGCUACUCAAUGCAAGAUGUGGUGGAGUCCUGGAUUUGAAUUUGUUUUGGGUUCACUUCCUUUCACUGUGAUGUCAGGAGCCUUCAGGUACUCAUGGGCCAUAUGGAGAGCGGUGAAGGAAGAUAGACAAGCAACUAGAUACCGUAGUGUGGUGUUAAAUUCUUCCAACCAGUGUUUAUUGAACAUCUGCUAGGUUCCAUGAGUUACACUAAGCUCUCUGGGACCAGAGCUGUGGACAGCAGAGACCCGGGCCUUGCCUCCCAGAACUUCCACUGCAGGGGAUGUGAUGGACACUAGUGAGCAUAAGCGCUACGGAAGCACAAGGAGGGGCAUCUCAUCCAGACCAAGAGGGUAAGGCAGGCCUCUCAGAGGGGAGGUGACUGCUGCCAUCACGGAUUUUCAGAGAUGGGAGAACCUGUGAAAUCUUGCUUAUCCCUGUGUUCUAAAGACCUGGCACAUAGGCAUUUCCCUAACUAGUGAAUCUGGAAAAAGGACAUACAGGUGUUCUCUCUUGUGUAUAGCAUGUACUACUCCUAAUUGAUAGGAUGAGUGAGUGAAUGAAUGAAUGAAUGAGUGAGUCAGUGAAAGAGUGAACAAAUUUCCACCUGUAACUGCAAGGAACCCAGUGGGACGAGCUCUCCCAGGAGGUUAUUCUCUCUCUCAUCCUUCCAAGGUCACCAGAGUGAGUGGGUCAGCUCCAGCAAGUCUUUCCCUCUUUGAUUGGGCAGUGAGAAGGAUUUGGGGGCGGCAGCAUGGUGACUAACCAUAGCCAUGGGGGUUCCUGCUGCCCCUGCUUCUGUGUUCUGAUUUCAGAGGAGAUGAAACGCUUUAUUAAGAAAAGCCAUUUAGGUCUCUCUCUUUUCCUGAGUUGCUCAACCUUUUUCAGACCCCGAUAUUCACAGAGGAGAACAAAGCCGCCUUCCCGAAGCUGUACUUUGGGUUUUGUUCUUGCUGAAGCCAUGAGAAGCCAGCAGCCCGCGUGCCUCUGUAGGUCAGAAACAAGGGCCCUUUGGCUCUGUCCAAAGAUCAUAAUCUUCGUAGUAACAAAGCAAUAUGCUUUCAGUUUUACUCAGUGCUUUCUCUUUCAUGAUCUCAUUUCAUUUACAGAGCAGACUUACGGAAUGUUGGAGACCCUGAUGGCUACAAUACUUGGGGAUUUCCACACCCUCUUUGGUGAAGUCCCAGGAAACUGUGAAGGAGCCAGGGGCCUGCCCUGUCGGGAGGAGCCCCCCUCCUCGGGGCAGGAAGCCGAGCUGGCUCAUUUCUCUGCCCUUUGCUCAGCCAACCAUGCCAACUGAGCUGCUUGCUUGCGCUUGUCCCAUAUAUUGCAGUUCCAGUGACAUUUCUCUUGAAAAGUAGAUCUUAUAGCUGGAAACAAAAGUUUGGAGACUAUUGAUCAGUGGCAAUACCUUCAUAUUUUUGGUAAAGAAAUGCAGGUCCAGAAAAGGAAAUCAUUGGUUUAAAAUCACAAAGUUAACAAGUAGCAGAGCAGAAACUAAGCUCCUGUCCUGGGUAUCAUUUCGGUUUCUACUCUAGGGCAUUCGAUUGCUGCAUCUGGCAAAACCAGUCACAGGAAAUGGAAAGGUCCAAUGUUCUGGCCCAAAAGGAGAGAAAAAUGACAAUAUUUUUUUUUAAAUCCCUGAAAGCUGAGGGUUCUGGCAUGCCCCUCCUCCCGUGUGCCUAUUGGGUCUGUGUUCCCUGAUGCUGAGAAGGCCCGGUGAGUCACCCCUCCCUCCCAGAGCCUCACUUUCCUCCCCGGAAACUGACCUGGGGAAGGUGGCUCACCACCAUCUCUUCUGGAUUCCAAAUGUGCUUCAGGUUAGGAAAUAACUAGCAACGUUUACCCCCGUCCUGACUAACUAAAGAUUGAAUACCAGGCUGAACUGAAAUCAUGGAUGGGAACAGUUUCUUUCUAAUGUAAAACCAUAAGAAGAACUCCUUAUGAUGUCCAAGUUGCUCCCAGCUGCGGUGCCAGGGAGCACAGAAAGACCUACAAUCACCUUCCCGGGAAGGGAGUCCAUUCCCACCCCCACCUCUCAUGCUUUCAAAAGCCACAGAAGGGAGAAAGACCCUAAGCUUCAUGAGGUUCCUUUGAGAAGGGGAACUCAGGUCUAUUUUAGCCCCUCCCUGUGAAGAAAUGGAGGGCUGAGUGGCACUCCCUGAGACCACUGCCACCAGAGUGACACUGCCUGCCAUCUAGAGGCACUAGGGCAGGAAAGGGAGGCCAGCAUGGUGGCUGAAGCUGAAUCACCAGCUCCAGGAGGGCAAAGGGUCAAUUACUUGCAAGCAUCAGCAGACUCAACACACUUUCGAACACAUCUCUUCCUCCUGUAGAAAAAAAUGAUGUUGCCUUAUAGCUUCCUCACCUCUAACUCCUUGGAAUGGAUUUCAUGCUAUCUGUUCCUUCCAUGCCAGUAAUCUCUCUCUCUCACUCUCUCUCUGGCCAAAAGAAUACCACUUUUUCCUGUUCAAACCUUGCAGAGUGCACCAAUUAUAUAUGUUAAAAAUGAUGACAACAGUGAAAUUACUGAAAACCAUAAAAAGCAAUUAAAAACUAAAACCUUGAAGUGCUGAUGCUCCAUGAAAUUAUACUGAUUUGAUAGAUUCCACAGUUGGACAUUGCCUUCCUCUGUCAUGUGAACAAAAUGUUAUCUUUUCAUUUUAAAAGCAGUGAUUAUAUCGGUAUUUUUUUAAUGACAUCUAUGGGUUGUUUCCUUUCUGUAAAUAUAGAAUGUUCAUUUGCAUAGUCACAAAGGAAAUUAGGAAAUGUCUACUCAAUUUUUACAGCUCAUGACGUGUACUAAUAUUCCCAGUUUCUUUUCUACUCUGCCUGGUUGAGCAAAAGAUAAAUUUGUGUCGCUGUUGUUUGUCAUAUUGCAAGAUGAUAAUGUUUACCAAAUAAGCAAAUGAAACGACCUAUCAAAUUUACAAAUGAACUGUAGGUUAGAGUUGACCAAAUGCCGUCACAUUUUUUUUUUUAAUGUACUUGUUUUGAAAUUAACCUAGGUUUUACUCUACUCUCUCACAGCUGCUGAAUCUGUGAACUUGAGCGUGUUACCUUACCUCUCUGAGCCCCACUUUCCGCAUAUGUAAAAUGGAGAUAGUACUAGUAUUCAUGGGAUCGUGGGGUGGACUGAGCAAGAAAAUAUGCAGUUUAGUGUGAUGCAUGCACUAUAGAGUAGGCCCUCAAUAACUGGGAUUUCCUUUAAUUUCACUAGAACCAUGCAUUGACCUGAUGAGGUUUGGAGUACAGGUGGCAAAUGUUGUAAUUCCUGCUCUGCAGUGGAGAUGACUGAACUCAGAGAAAUGAAAUGAACUGACCCAGAUCUCACAAAUGACUAAGUAUCACUUUAAACCAUUGGUUCUCUGGGCUAGCCCGGUGGCUAAGUGAUUAAGUUCACGAACUCUGCUUAGGUGGCCUAAGUUUUGCUGGUUCGGAUCCUGGGCAUGGACAUGGCACCGCUCAUCAGGCCAUGCUGAGGUGGCAUCCCACAUGACACAACCAGAGGCACUCACAACUAGAAUAUGCAACUAUGUGCUGGGGGUGCUUUGGGGAGAAGAAUAAGAAGAAAAAAGAAGAUUGGCAACUGAUGUUAGCUUAGGCACCAAUCUUUAAAAAAAAAAAAAACACACUGGUUCUUGAUCAAGGAUAAUUUUGCCUCCAGAGGACGGUUGGCAAUGUUUGGAGACUGGAGAUUGUCACAAUGGGUUCCUAUAGGUUCAAUGGAGAUCAAGAUCCAAGCUUGGCCUACUUUCCACACGACUGAGGUAGAGACAACUCAGGGUACGAUAUAUUGAAUGUUGAAAUAUUCCUCUUCCGGCCCCAGCAAAGUUUGGAAAAGAGAUCAGUGGCAGAAACAGACUGAGAAAAUAAGAUGGUGUGGUCCACAUUCCUCCCCAGUUUGGGGUUUGGCCCGGGCAAGAGUGAGGGCUUUAAAAACAUUCAAAAAGGUUUGGGGGAACUCAAAACAUAAGGAAGAAACUGAUGACAUGAUUCUCCAAGCAGAGCUUCAGAAAGCUGUCAGCCCACAGGAGAAAUACUUCAUGUGGCCACAUUCAGCACGGACAGAAGUGAGGUUGAACUAUUGGUAGAGGGAGAAAGCAGGACUGUGGGCCUGAGAAAGCAUCACUGACUCUCCAAGGCCUGGGAGAAAGUUAUAGGGGUCUAGAAUUUCACCACUGGUAUAAGGAGGGGAUGGAAUAUUACUGAGAGUGCUGAUGGCUUACCAGAGUCAUGACUUGAAAGAGGACACAGUGUGUGAGAACUCUGGUCCCUCAGUAGAAAAGCCAGGACCUUGAACUCCAGUCAUGGCAGUCCAGAUGCUGACCCCAGGGCAGUCUUCGGUUCAGAGUGCAUACCAGACUAGUCAUUGGCUAAUACCAGUGCAGACUCAGAUGACUCUGCAUGGAUGUAUGAGCCCAUCUUCCACAUGAACCUUGACAUCAUCUUGAAGAAAAAUAGGAGUAUGAGGAAACUAAUUCAAAGACAGGACAUUCAACUCUAAGGAAAUGCAUUACCCCAAAAAUGUCACCGGAAUUAUUGGACAAGACUCAGUUUUCCGGAUUAAACUAAAUUUAGAUUCUCCUCCAUGACCCAGUGGAGUACACAUACUAAAUAAGAAAUAGAAACAGAACGAUACUUUUUGUUCUUUUUCUUCACAUUUUAGUGUACUGUGAAUACAGAUGACCCCACAACAGAAAAAAAUAAUUAGUUGAGUUGAUGUCAAUAUAGAAGGUUCCCUAAUUUGAGAUGAGCAGAAACGCAAAAUUUUUUGUUUCUCUAAAUGAAAGAGGAAAAUCAGGUUAAUAUCUGAUGGGAAAAGAGACUGUCCUUUGGAAGAAGGCCAAGCCCUCCUGAGCCUGUGGAUGCUUGAUCUUGUAUUUUGAGUCUACCUUUUCCUCCUCUUUAUCUUUGAGGUUGAUUCUCAUUGCCUGCCCCAAACUCUGUCUACUGGCCUGUUCAUUGUUGACUUGCCAGUUCCCUGACUAGGAAGGGCCUGACUCCAGUAAGAGCUGCCAAUUGUAGACCCAGGGCUUAUGAUUAGGGUUGCUAGAUAAAAUAUAGGAUGCACAGUUAUGCAUUUCAUUUGAAUUGCAUGUAAACAACAAAUAAUUUUUUGUAUAAGUGUAUCCGAAAUGUUCCCUACAAAUAUUGCAUGAAACAUGCUUUUACUAAAAUAAAAUAUUGUUCAUCUCAAAUUUAAAUGUAACUAGACAUUCUAUAUUUGUAUUUGUUAAUCUUGCAACCCUACUCUAAGCAAUGGCAAACCUAGAUCCCAUGCCAACUUGAAGGAGAAAUGGGUAGCCACAACACCAUUCAUCCACACUGUGCCCCAUAUAGACUGAGAGACAGGGCAGACCUCACUUUUAGUACUCACAGAUGUAAAAUGUAAAUGUAAAUAUAACCAUAAAUGUAAAUAUAUUAAAAACUGAGGUUUUGGGGGAAAAGUGACCUAGAAGGUUGAAAGAGGUUGAAGCUACCCUGGGUCUCAUCAUGGAAGGAAUAGUGCCUUCUCUUCACAUCAACAUUGUUAGACCUCACAAGGAUCUCAUGGGUAGGCAUCAUUAUGACCAUUUCACAAAUGGGAAGCUAAGAUUCAAGGAGCAUAGCAACAGUGAAUCAUAGUGAAAAGUGAACUACAUUUAUAGUCAGUAAGACCAAAAUUUGAAUUUCAGCUUUACCCGGCUGUUACUACCAGAAAUAUCUUAACAUUUUUGAGUCUCUGAUUGUCAUAUUUGAGAAAAAUAAUACACAGACCACUGAGCAGAGGGAGUAUUUCAUGUAUUGAUGUAUACAAAGUACCAAAUAGCACUUAGCAAGCUACUCAAGAAAUGAAAGCCACUGGCAUUAAUUUCUAUGAGGUAAGUUUUCCAUGAACCAUGAUGCCAUGACUGAAAUCAGGGACCUGGUACAUAGUAUAGUCAUGGACACAUGGAGUUACUUAAUAAAGAAGAUUUGAAUUAAUGUCUAGUACUCAGAUAAUUCCUUCACAUUAAGCAUUGAGCUCCUCUAUUGCCCUAUUUUCAAACACAAAUAGUAAUGAGAUACAGUAGUAAUAUCUUGAAUCAUGAACUCUUUUAAUGAAUUAAAUUUAUUGAAUCAACUUUCUCAUCAACAGUAGGCUCUGGCUCAGGGACAUGCCCUGGCUGUGCUAUAAAAGUCUUCUUGGGGAGUGGACCCAAGCUUUGGUCACCUCUGAGUAAAGAUGGGUGGAGAGAGUACUAGAAGAGGGGUUAUCAUCAAGAACAAAGGCAAAGACAUGGAAAAACCUGGAGCACAAAUGAGACUAGUGAAGAUCUGUGAGUCAUUAUAAGGAUAAUUUUGAUGCAAACCACUUUGGUGGCAGAUUAUCUUCCACAGUCCCCACUUCUUUAAGAAUUAAAACAACCGCCACAGUAUUUCCCAAUGAGGCAGACUCACUGUUCAUUUGCCAUCUGGAAUCUUAGUCUUGCAAAGGAGUAAAGUUAGUGAAAUAUAUAUUUGAAUGAAACUCAGCCUCCCUCUUUUACACUGCAAUGAACAGUCAGGAGUCCUGGGAGGUGAGAGGGGGGAGGGCUGAGUGUGAGGGCCAUGAGUUCACACCACAUCUCCCCUCUGUGCUGAGGAUUGUUGCCAUGACAGCCAUUCCCAACUCCAGACUGCCUUUGGAGUCCUGCUAGGUAGGUGGCUUACUCCUGAAGUGGUUUUUGCGUAUGUGGAAAAUCAAAGUUACUACUUGCUCUUUCUUUAAUGUCCAAUGUAAUUAUAACUAUAGUAAGUGAAAUUUCUCUAAACAUUUAAACUUGCAUAACUAAUAAAUUAAAAUGUAAGCUUUACUAAUCCUCUUAUACAUUUAAAAGUUAGUUACAAACCUUAGUCAAGCUCUCUACCUAUCUCAAUAAAAGCAUAAGCCUAAUGUGCCACAUUCCCUUAACUGCUUCAAACACCUUAAAAACAGACGUGAUAUUCACAAAUUAUCAUAUUGAUUAUAAAAUGUAUUGUUAUAUUUAUACUCAACCUGUGAGAAAGUUAGUGAUCCUAUAGACUUAGUUAAUUUCUUCAUUAUUUACAUACUUUAAUAUAUUUUAAUGCAUCUUCCCAGGUUACAGUGACCUAUCAAACAAAAAGAUUAUGGUAGAACAGCUGACAUUGUUGGGACUUCCAAAGUGAAUAAAACUCUAGCAGCUAUUUCUUACCUGGGCUCCUCUUAGAAUCAAGAUUGACUCAUUGUGUCAAUGAGACCAUCCACAGCCAUGCCUUUUCCUGCAACUUGGUGUCUCUGCUGUCUUCUUUCAUCACAUCCAUGUCAUAGGACAUGUUAUAGGCUGAAUUCUGUCCUCCCAAAGAUUCAUAGCUUGAAGUCCUAACCCAUAGUUCCUCAGAAUAUAACUGUAUUUGGAGUCAGAAUCUUUAAAGAGGUAAUUAAAUGAAAGUGAGGUCAUUAUGGUGCACCCUAAUCCACUAUGACUGGUGUCUGUACAAGAAGAGGAAAUUGGGACAUAGACACAUACAGAGGGAAGAUAAUGUGAAGACACAGGGAGAAGAUGGUAUCUAUAAGCCGAGUGGAAAGGCCAGGAAACAGAUUCUCCCUCUCAGCCUUCAGAAAGAAACUGCUGACACCUUGAUCUCAGACUUUUAGCUUCUAGACUGUGAGAAAAUAAAUUUCUGUUUAAGUCUGUGGUGCUGUGUUACAACAGCCCUAGCAAACUAAUGGAGGAUGUGUAGCCUUGAUUUACAAUUUAACUCAUUAUAUAGUUUUUACAUCUCAGUAAAAUCAGUUGAGUCAUCUAGAGGUUUCAUUUUCUAGGAGACAAGGGGCUAAGUUGAACUAUCAGCUCUUCUUUCUAAAUUUUGAACAAUCCAUCAUAUGGCAACCCACUGCCAUGCUUUCCACCUAGUUCUUGUCCAUGGUCCAUUGAGGUUAUAGGCCCUUCUGCUCUUUGUGCAAUUCCCAUCCCCUUUAAGAACUAUUUUGCCUAUCCCUCUCUAUUAUGCACAGAGGUAGGUAAAAAAAUACACACAUGCAUCUGAAAAACAGAACAUCAUAUAUGUCAAUAGUCCCCUACUAAUUUUGGUUAACUUAAAAAUUGUAUUCAUUCUUCUUUUGUAUCAUAAUUAUCAUCUUUAAUGAACUUAUUUUGUCUUGGAAUGUCAUAACCUUCAUAUAGAUUCAAUUCAUUCCAACUAGCUAUGGUUAAUAUUCUGUUUUGAUAUUCAAACUGUUAUAACUUGGCAAGCAGAAGUUUUUAAAAACUAUCUCUUUUGUCUUUUCAGUAUGACCCUAGAUAUUUUUUAAAGUUUUCUUGUCUUCUGGCAGUCAAUGUAACUGAAAAUCCAUGCAAACUUUUUUCCAUCCCAAGACAUGGAAUCCAUGGAUCUCCAAGGAGUCUCGAUUCUCUCUAGCUCAAGAACCAGCUAGGAUUGGAGGAUGAGGUGUGGCUGCUCAGUGUUGAUGCCUUCCACGUGAGUGCUGGAGGACAGCAAGACGCAACUGCUGGAUCACCCUGGGGUUAGAACUGAAAAAACUAUUUCUAGUCAAGGUCAUGAAGUCCACAAUUACAUCUUUAAUUUAGCUUUAAGAAUGAUAAAUUAUUUUAUUUCCACUUUAAUAUGCCUAACUUAGAUAGAUUUUAAACCAUCACUCCAACUAUAAUAGUCUCCUUUUAUUUUUACUUUCUACGUAUUUCUCAUCCAUCACCAUUUGUAAUCAUUUUAUUGACCCUGAAGAAUUCAAAGCACCUCAAAAAUUGCCUCUAUUUAUCCUCCCUCAACUCUCAGUAUAGAUACAAAUUAAUUGAGCCCCUCAUAUACAUGUUGUGGCAUCGACGCUUUCAGGUCCCAUAGAGAUAUUUUGCAAGCUUAAGGCCUAAUUUUCUAAGGAUGUAAUGUAUAGGCUGAAUGACCUUUACCCACUCUCCUCUCCUCUCCUCUCUGGACCUUACUCAACUCAUCUAUAUUUUUUUCGAACUAAAAAAAGAAAAAGAAAUGGCCAGGUCUCAAAUUCUGUGAUUCAGGAAAGAAUUAGGUCCAGGAUCAAAUCUGCUUCAUUAACUAAAGGAUUUUUACAGGAUAAACAUGGAGGGAAGGGCAAGAGAGCUGAGGACGAUACCAUUCUUACACCACCAAACACUGAACACCACUGAGCCAUUCUUUUCCCACCUGAAGCUGCAGAUUGAAAGAGUUAAAUGGUGUAAAAGCACUUUACAAAUUUAAAGCUUGUGCAAAUUGUCUGCCUUUUUACUGCGAAACACCACUCACGAUGAUGAUUGAGUUAAUUCAGGCAUUAAGCUUUUAAGGCGCUCACCCGAGUGUCGAAAGGAAAGUCUUUACAAAGUCCACGUAUCCUGGAUUUCCAAUUCAGUGCUCUAUCCACCAGAUUAUGCAGCAUUUCAAAUACGAAAAUGAAUUCCAUGGAUGAGAAGCAAUCAUUCACCCAUGGGCCAGCCUCUCAUCUUUCCCCGCACACCUGUCGGGAGGAGAUUUGACCGGAAAGGCCCCACUUACCUGAGAUAAAGGACAGUCCACUAAGGACUGUGACGCUGGGUGCUCUGCCCUAAAGCAGGGUGGCAGACAGCUGCAUUAAAGUUGCAAGGCACGCAAGCCUUCCUGGACUGUUUUAUUCAUUCCAGUUCCCAGGGAUAACACUCCAAACUCUGAGUUAGAGGUGCACCUUUGUUCUUAUUCUAAUAUAACCAAAGAAAGCAAGCUCAUGAUACAGCAGUUUAAUUAGAGUAUGCAAAUUACUGUGCUCCCAUGUCCUCUCGUGGGCGACGUCACACCUUAUUUACAGGAGAAGAGAACACAGCUCAGAAAAGGAGGAGGAUGGAAACAAAGCAAGCAGUC